AUUGAACGCUGGCGGAAUGCUUUACACAUGCAAGUCGAACGGUAGAGGGGGCAACCCCUCGAGAGUGGCGAACGGGUGAGUAAUAUAUCGGAACGUGCCCAGUCGUGGGGGAUAACGUAGCGAAAGUUACGCUAAUACCGCAUACGAUCUAAGGAUGAAAGCGGGGGGUCGCAAGACCUCGCGCGAUUGGAGCGGCCGAUAUCAGAUUAGGUAGUUGGUGGGGUAAAGGCUCACCAAGCCAACGAUCUGUAGCUGGUCUGAGAGGACGACCAGCCACACUGGAACUGAGACACGGUCCAGACUCCUACGGGAGGCAGCAGUGGGGAAUUUUGGACAAUGGACGCAAGUCUGAUCCAGCCAUUCCGCGUGCAGGGUGAAGGCCCUCGGGUUGUAAACUGCUUUUGUACGGAACGAAGAGGUCUCUCUUAAUACGGGGGACUCAUGACGGUACCGUAAGAAUAAGCACCGGCUAACUACGUGCCAGCCGCCGCGGUAA
This 496-nucleotide ribosomal RNA is filed under the name uncultured bacterium. RNAcentral describes it as "partial 16S ribosomal RNA". It matches the Rfam family "Bacterial small subunit ribosomal RNA", at positions 30 to 523 of the family's 1533-position model. The record is from RNAcentral.